CCAGGGGAAGCUGAAAACCUGUAAAAAGAGUAGGCA
Chitinophaga niabensis is the source of this 36-nucleotide regulatory RNA element. It matches the Rfam family "DUF805b RNA". From Rfam's summary of the family: Bacteroidetes, Chlorobi (1 example), Proteobacteria. Lineage: Bacteria; Pseudomonadati; Bacteroidota; Chitinophagia; Chitinophagales; Chitinophagaceae. The record is from Rfam.